AGGGCAAGUCUGGUGCCAGCAGCCGCGGUAAUUCCAGCUCCAAUAGCGUAUAUUAAAGUUGUUGCAGUUAAAAAGCUCGUAGUUGAAUUUCGGGAUCAAUCUAUCGGUCGUGCAAUAGUACGUACUGAUUUUAUUGAUUCCUCCCUUCUGAUGAACUAUGAUGUCAUUAAUCUGGUGUCAUAGGGAAUCAGGACUGUUACUUUGAAAAAAUUAGAGUGUUUAAAGCAGGCUCACGCUUGAAUACAUUAGCAUGGAAUAACGAAAUAGGACGUUUGAUUCUAUUUUGUUGGUUUCUAGGAUCGACGUAAUGAUUAAUAGGGAUAGUUGGGGGCAUUAGUAUUCAAUUGUCAGAGGUGAAAUUCUUGGAUUUAUUGAAGACUAACUACUGCGAAAGCAUUUGCCAAGGAUGUUUUCAUUAAUCAAGAACGAAAGUUAGGGGAUCGAAGACGAUCAGAUACCGUCGUAGUCUUAACCAUAAACUAUGCCGACUAGGGAUCGGAUGAUGUUAAUUUUUUAAUGACUCAUUCGGCGCCUUACGGGAA
This 542-nucleotide ribosomal RNA is filed under the name uncultured Glomeromycotina. Its description in RNAcentral is "SSU rRNA". It matches the Rfam family "Eukaryotic small subunit ribosomal RNA", at positions 552 to 1096 of the family's 1831-position model. Lineage: Eukaryota; Fungi; Glomeromycota. The record is from RNAcentral.